RNAcentral lists this long non-coding RNA (981 nucleotides) under Felis catus (domestic cat). Its description in RNAcentral is "lncRNA (ENSFCAG00000044024.2)". The record is from RNAcentral. Lineage: Eukaryota; Metazoa; Chordata; Mammalia; Carnivora; Felidae.
CUACUGCCUAUAACGAAAGAUGGGGAUAAUGUGUACCUGUCCACUUCUUCUGACUUCCUUUCUUUUCUCUUGUGUUUUCAAGGUUCCAAACAUUAAUGUUGUAUUCUGUAAAUACAUGUGUGAGAAUGACUGGAUCCCUGUCCUGGACAGCAGUUGGCUUCACCCAGUUUCAACAAGAUGAAUAUUCCAAGACUGGCCUCGGGUGGCUCCUGCUCAUACUUCCAUAAGGAUAUUAAGUCAGAGGGCAAAUGAGAGACCAACUGACCAGGAAGGAAGACCAUGCCACAUCACUGGGAAGAAGGCGUGUUGGAAGGCAAGUGAGGGAGAAUGAAGGAGAGAAAAAUUGACAGGCGGUUAUUGUUAAGAAGGAACUGCAGUCCCACUAAACACCACAAGAAUCCAGCCAGGCAAAUAAACCGGGGGAAAUACUCGCUCUCCACAGGACAAAGGGUGAUAUCCUUAACAGGAAAAGAGCUCCUGCCAAAAGGUAAUAAUAAAAGCAUUAAGUUCCCCAUCAGUAAAGGGGGGAAGGGAGUAAAGACAAUUGAAAGCACAGAUAUAUUGAUGGCUAAGAAACAUUUGAACAUUUUUCAACCUCCCUCAUCAUCAAAGAAAAGGAAAUUUGCAUAACAGGGAAAUGCUAUUGUUAACCUAUCAGAUUACUAGAACACUAAAAAAGAAAGAGAGAGAGAGAGAGAAUAUUCGAAUGCGGACAUGGAGUGUAGUGACACAGAGGAGCUCAGCUCAGCUGGAAGGAAUACAAAGCGGUUCCAGCCCUCGGCAAGGAAUGUGGCGUGCAGUGUGCGAGCCUUGAAAAUAUUUGUAACGCUCACCUCCAAAAGUCUACUUCUGGGAUUCUAAUGAUGGAAAUGAUCCAAAACAGAGAAAAGGGGUUUUCUGCCAGAGACAUUCAUUGCACUGCUGUUUAUAAUAUUAAAAUUGGGGAAUAAACUAAAUUUCCAAAAAAUAAGAGUGAUAUUA